This 1353-nucleotide ribosomal RNA is filed under the name uncultured bacterium. RNAcentral's name for it is "bacterial SSU rRNA". It matches the Rfam family "Bacterial small subunit ribosomal RNA", at positions 28 to 1387 of the family's 1533-position model. The record is from RNAcentral.
GAUGAACGCUGGCGGCGUGCCUAAUACAUGCAAGUCGAACGCUUCACUUCGGUGAAGAGUGGCGAACGGGUGAGUAAUACAUAAGUAACCUGGCAUCUACAGGGGGAUAACUGAUGGAAACGUCAGCUAAGACCGCAUAGGUGUAGAGAUCGCAUGAACUCUAUAUGAAAAGUGCUACGGGACUGGUAGAUGAUGGACUUAUGGCGCAUUAGCUGGUUGGUAGGGUAACGGCCUACCAAGGCGACGAUGCGUAGCCGACCUGAGAGGGUGACCGGCCACACUGGGACUGAGACACGGCCCAGACUCCUACGGGAGGCAGCAGUAGGGAAUUUUCGGCAAUGGGGGAAACCCUGACCGAGCAACGCCGCGUGAAGGAAGAAGUAAUUCGUUAUGUAAACUUCUGUCAUAGAGGAAGAACGGUGGAUAUAGGGAAUGAUAUCCAAGUGACGGUACUCUAUAAGAAAGCCACGGCUAACUACGUGCCAGCAGCCGCGGUAAUACGUAGGUGGCGAGCGUUAUCCGGAAUUAUUGGGCGUAAAGAGGGAGCAGGCGGCACUAAGGGUCUGUGGUGAAAGAUCGAAGCUUAACUUCGGUAAGCCAUGGAAACCGUAGAGCUAGAGUGUGUGAGAGGAUCGUGGAAUUCCAUGUGUAGCGGUGAAAUGCGUAGAUAUAUGGAGGAACACCAGUGGCGAAGGCGACGAUCUGGCGCAUAACUGACGCUCAGUCCCGAAAGCGUGGGGAGCAAAUAGGAUUAGAUACCCUAGUAGUCCACGCCGUAAACGAUGAGUACUAAGUGUUGGGGGUCAAAGCUCAGUGCGCCAGUUAACGCAAAAAAUACUCCCCCCGAGUAGUACGUUUCGCAAGAAGGAAACUCAAAGGAAUGGACGGGGGCCCGCCCAAGCGGUGGAGCAUGUGGUUUAAUUCGAAGCAACGCGAAGAACCUUCCCAGGUCUUGACAUCGAUCUAAAGGCUCCAGAGAUGGAGAGAUAGCUAUAGAGAAGACAGGUGGUGCAUGGUUGUCGUCGGCUCGUGUCGUGAGAUGUUGGGUUAAGUCCCGCAACGAGCGCAACCCCUGUUGCCAGUUGCCAGCAUUAAGUUGGGGACUCUGGCGAGACUGCCGGUGACAAGCCGGAGGAAGGCGGGGAUGACGUCAAAUCAUCAUGCCCCUUAUGACCUGGGCUACACACGUGCUACAAUGGACAGAGCAGAGGGAAGCGAAGCCGCGAGGUGGAGCGAAACCCAUAAAACUGUUCUCAGUUCGGACUGCAGUCUGCAACUCGACUGCACGAAGAUGGAAUCGCUAGUAAUCGCGAAUCAGCAUGUCGCGGUGAAUAAAAGGUCGGGCCUUGCACU